This 253-nucleotide long non-coding RNA is filed under the name Ananas comosus (pineapple). RNAcentral's name for it is "long non-coding RNA (ACOM_LNC044285)". Lineage: Eukaryota; Viridiplantae; Streptophyta; Magnoliopsida; Poales; Bromeliaceae. The record is from RNAcentral.
UUAGAAACUUUCUAAUCAAUUAUAACUUGAAAACAUGAUUCUAAGAUCUAUAAUUAAGUAUGAAUCACCAUAAACAAGAUUUAAAGCUUACCUACGCAUCGUGAUUCAAGUUUUGCAUGUUUUGCGUCUUUUCCGAUUCUUCGAAGUCAUGGAUUCUUCGAUCUUCAAUAUUCCGCUCCGAACUUCUUCAAGACUCCGACUCGACCCACGAAACUUACCAACACAUAGGACCUAACACAUAUCACCCACAAAU